AUACGGAGGGAGCAAGCGUUAUUCGGAAUCACUGGGCGUAAAGGACGCGUAGGCGGGUUUGUAAGUCAGGUGUGAAAUCCUACAGCUCAACUGUAGAACUGCACUUGAAACUACAGACCUAGAGUAUGGAAGGGGCAGAUGGAAUUAGUGGUGUAGGGGUAAAAUCCGUAGAUAUCACUAGGAAUACCGAAAGCGAAGGCGAUCUGCUGGGACAUUACUGACGCUGGGGCGUGAAAGCGUGGGGAGCAAACAGGAUUAGAAACCCUAGUAGUCC
This 274-nucleotide ribosomal RNA is filed under the name uncultured bacterium. Its description in RNAcentral is "partial 16S ribosomal RNA". It matches the Rfam family "Bacterial small subunit ribosomal RNA", at positions 523 to 796 of the family's 1533-position model. The record is from RNAcentral.